CUUGGUUGUUUGGUGGAUGGGUAUGGUGUAAAUUGUAGCCAUCAAGCAGACAAACGUGCUUCUGCGUACGAAUAGUACACAGGGUGCAUACACGCUUUGUUGUAGUAGUGAUAUUGUAUAACUAAACAAACAG
This 133-nucleotide unclassified non-coding RNA is filed under the name uncultured fungus. Its description in RNAcentral is "sequence contains ITS1, 5.8S rRNA gene". The record is from RNAcentral. Lineage: Eukaryota; Fungi.